AACACAGAGAGGAUUCAAACUGAACAGAAAGGCUUGUGGAUACAGUCUGAACUGGAUUUUACUGUUGUGAUGGAGCAGUUUUUUGAAAACUUUUUUUCAGGAGAAAGAACAGAAAGAAGACCGUCGUUGAAGUUGAGAUCUCUGCUGACACAUCCUAAAGACAGGACCAGCGUAAGAGGUAAACUGGAGAGUACCAAACCAAAGAUGGUCACAGCGUCAACUGGGAAGGAGUGGUAAAGAUCCACAUCUAACGCCAGACACCAGCAGCUCUUUCCAAGAGGAGCAGGUGCAGCUCGGCCUUCACUUCCUCUGAAGGACACACGUUCAGCUGCGUCCUUUGAUGGAUCUCGCUCCUCAACUGGGACACGACUCGCUCUGUCUCCUGACUCUAACCUCACUUUUCCUGUAGAAGCCAUUUCAAGGCAUUUUUUACCCUUUUUACAUUUUACUCCUUGUAGUUCACUGCAAUAUAUAAAAUAUGUAUUUAAUCUAUAAGUCCUGCAGCUCUAUGGAAUGAGCACAAUGAUGGAAUUCAAAAAUGUCUUUGUGCAGAAUAACAGUUAUAAUGACAUAAAUCAUAUAAAAAGAAAAAAACACAAGUUUAAUUUCUCAAAAAAAAAAACAUUU
This is a long non-coding RNA of Centropristis striata (black sea bass), 627 nucleotides long. RefSeq lists it as uncharacterized. NCBI's taxonomy places the organism in Eukaryota, Metazoa, Chordata, Actinopteri, Perciformes, Serranidae. The record is from RefSeq and is a predicted model, not a curated record. The transcript has 3 exons.